AAACAACCAAAGAAGGAAAAACCUGUAAAAGCAGCUGUAGCUGUAGAAGCCCAUAAGCCAAAAGAAGCUGAACAAGCUAAACAAGAACCUAUUAUACACCUGACUAAAACAG
Euleptes europaea (tarantolino) is the source of this 112-nucleotide long non-coding RNA. RefSeq lists it as uncharacterized. The record is from RefSeq and is a predicted model, not a curated record. NCBI's taxonomy places the organism in Eukaryota, Metazoa, Chordata, Lepidosauria, Squamata, Sphaerodactylidae. The transcript is spliced from 3 exons.